CAGCCAUGAAGGCGUCGCUGCUGUUCCUGCUCGCCUGCACGGCCGUCCUGGCGCUGGGAGCAAGGGCCGACUCGCCCGAGGAGCCGAAGGAGCUGGUGCAGAAGGUGCAGGAGCUGGCCCAGAAAGCCACGGCCAUGGCCAAGGACGCCUUCAGCAGGGUGCGGGAGUCGGAGGCGGCAAAGCAGGCCAGGCAGUGGCUGUCGGACAACGCGGAGCUGGCGAAGCAGCGGCUGGUGUGGCUGAAGGAGCAGCUGGCCGAGCUCUUGAAGAAGACUCCGGCCGCGUAGCCUCGCCGGGGGCUGCCUGGGGUCUGUCGGGGCCGGGGACCCCCCGGCUCCCACCCGCUGUCGUGGUGCUCUCAAUAAAGCGGGGCUGAGG
Molecule: long non-coding RNA, 378 nt
Filed under: Taeniopygia guttata (zebra finch)
Lineage: Eukaryota; Metazoa; Chordata; Aves; Passeriformes; Estrildidae
Description: lncRNA (ENSTGUG00000026560.1)
Source: RNAcentral